AAUCAACGCUGGCGGCGUGCCUCAGACAUGCAAGUCGAACGAUUAAAGCUCUCUUCGGAGAGUGUAUAGAGUGGCGCACGGGUGAGUAACACGUAAGUAAUCUACCCUCGAGUGGGGAAUAACAACCGGAAACGGUUGCUAAUACCGCAUAAUGCAGCGGCACCGCAAGGUGACAGUUGUUAAAGAUUUAUCGCUUGAGGAGGAGCUUGCGGCAGAUUAGCUAGUUGGUAGGGUAACGGCUUACCAAGGCUACGAUCUGUAACCGGUCUAAGAGGACGGUCGGUCACACUGACACUGAAUAACGGGUCAGACUCCUACGGGAGGCAGCAGUCGGGAAUUUUGGGCAAUGGGCGAAAGCCUGACCCAGCAACGCCGCGUGAAGGAUGAAGUAUUUCGGUAUGUAAACUUCGAAAGAAUAGGAAGAAUUAAUGACGGUACUAUUUAUAAGGUCCGGCUAACUACGUGCCAGCAGCCG
This 475-nucleotide ribosomal RNA is filed under the name uncultured bacterium. RNAcentral's name for it is "bacterial SSU rRNA". It matches the Rfam family "Bacterial small subunit ribosomal RNA", at positions 32 to 517 of the family's 1533-position model. The record is from RNAcentral.